CGGUGAAUAGCACAGCUUGGUAGUGCGCUCCGUUUGGGACGGAGAGGUCGUGGGUUCAAAUCCCUCUUCGCCGACCA
RNAcentral lists this transfer RNA (77 nucleotides) under Vibrio coralliirubri. Its description in RNAcentral is "tRNA-Pro". It matches the Rfam family "tRNA". Rfam says of the family: Transfer RNA (tRNA) molecules are approximately 80 nucleotides in length. Their secondary structure includes four short double-helical elements and three loops (D, anti-codon, and T loops). The record is from RNAcentral. Lineage: Bacteria; Pseudomonadati; Pseudomonadota; Gammaproteobacteria; Vibrionales; Vibrionaceae.